UAAUUUGAGAAGGUUCUAUACUUAUAGGUUGUAAGCAUCUAGUUCUACCUUGCAUUAUUAAAUUACUAAUAAGUUCAUAAUAAGGGUUAAUAACUUUAGAGGGUGUAGUUUUCAUAUGAAUCUAUUCAAUAAUUCCAACAGUUUGCCAUAAGACGGCAGUAGUCACAUGAGGAGUUGGACAAAUUAUUAAGAAAAUUGGAAGGUCCCUGUUCGAGUGCCACUUGCCGCGGACCAGCCGGAGAAAGAGGAUCUCACCGCCCAGGGUCAGAAGGGAAGGGGACAUUUCAUCUUGACAAUCUGCACAUCUGGGAGAC
Orcinus orca (killer whale) is the source of this 314-nucleotide long non-coding RNA. RefSeq lists it as uncharacterized. The transcript is spliced from 3 exons. The record is from RefSeq and is a predicted model, not a curated record. NCBI's taxonomy places the organism in Eukaryota, Metazoa, Chordata, Mammalia, Artiodactyla, Delphinidae.